RNAcentral lists this ribosomal RNA (517 nucleotides) under uncultured bacterium. RNAcentral's name for it is "partial 16S ribosomal RNA". It matches the Rfam family "Bacterial small subunit ribosomal RNA", at positions 29 to 523 of the family's 1533-position model. The record is from RNAcentral.
AACGAACGCUGGCGGCGUGCCUAACACAUGCAAGUCGAACGGAGAUAAGAAGCUUGCUUCUUAUUUUAGUGGCGCACGGGUGAGUAACGCGUGGAUAAUCUACCUGAUGCUCUGGGAUAACAUCUCGAAAGGGGUGCUAAUACCGGAUAAGCCCACGAUCUCUUCGGAGAAUGCGGGAAAAGGAGGGGACCUUCGGGCCUUCCGACGUCAGAUGAGUCCGCGUCCCAUUAGCUAGUUGGCGGGGUAAUGGCCCACCAAGGCUACGAUGGGUAGCUGGUCUGAGAGGAUGAUCAGCCACACUGGAACUGAGACACGGUCCAGACUCCUACGGGAGGCAGCAGUGGGGAAUUUUGCGCAAUGGGGGAAACCCUGACGCAGCAACGCCGCGUGAGUGAUGAAGGCUUUCGGGUCGUAAAGCUCUGUCAGAAGGGAAGAAAUGUGGGUGGCUAAUAUCCAUUCUACUUGACGGUUCCUUCAAAGGAAGCACCGGCUAACUCCGUGCCAGCCGCCGCUGUAA